AAACCCACAAAGAAGAAUAAGCUGACGUCAUCCUAUGCAACACUUACACUCCGGUGAGUAGAAAUCUCCACCUGUCAAACUGUUUUUUUACUCCAAAGUGUUACGUUAUAAAGUUACUGAUGGUAGUUUUAGGACUUAAUGGCAGUAGGACUGUGAUGCGAAUGGUUGAAGACACAUCUGUAAAAUUUUUUUGCCGGAAAAUAUAUGGUGGAAGCUAGCUAAAUUAGCCUCUUGGAGGCUAAUUGUACACUGUACCUGUGCUUAAUACGUUUAAUUAGUCAUGAUAGUCACAUAAUAGUGUUUAUAGUCAUGCUUGUUGUUGCCACAUUGUAAAAUUGGAGUGUUGCGAAAAAUAUCAGUGCCCUUAGGCUGUGAUGAUCUUUAAAGUUUUGUUUAUGAACCCUGUCUGAAUACACUGAUUACAGAUAGGUCAUUUACUUGAAUUAAAAAUGAACUUACAUCAGUACAGGCAAAUUUCUUUCCUCUUGUCUAUGUUAUUUAUUGCUGUUGCAAGCCAGAUGAAGAGAAGUAAAGAGCUGAGAACCUAAUCUUUGAACAGACAGAGACCAUAGGUCAGGAGCAGCCUGGGAUGCUUACUGAGGAGCAUCCAAUGAUGCCACCAGAGAACCAGGAAGAUAUUGUGAUAGUGCUUGAUCUUGUUCCCGUUUCUCCUCUGUUGUCCCAUCCUCUCAGUCUUUUCAGAAGAAGAAAAGACCCAGAAGCACCUCUCCAGUUGCCUCUCCUCCCACUCCAUCAUCUGUUUCCCCCCAUAGAUCAGCCACAUCUGCAUUCAUGUCACCUGCUGACCAUGCCGUCUCCUUAAGUCAGGGUGGCCGAUAAGAAGAGAAAGCAUAAGUUUUGUUUUCUUUACAUUCAUGCAUCCAACAUGUCAACCUCUUUAGCAUGAUUCGUACCUGUGAAGAUCCCAGUUAGAAUUUGUGAUUGUCCAUCAGAGUGUUGGUAUGAAUAACAAUUCUUUGAAUGACUCAAAACCAAAAUAUAAAAAAUUAUAUUAUCAAAAUUUAAAUAACUGUCUACUUUGGCUGUUUCGUACUUUGACGUACAUUUCCCAGAAGGGCUGUCUGACUCCAUUCUUGAGUGGUUAUGUUCUUCAACAUUUUGGUGUAACUGGUUAAACACACUUGAAUCAAAUGGCUGAGAUACCACCUCAUUCAUUCAGCAUUCAGAUCAUAUGAAGUCCUGGUAACAUCAAAAUUAAUCGAGUGAGAUGUUUUGUGCCAGAGAAACACCUAAAACUUGAAAGACACCUAUUCUUGAUGCCUGGUAUUUGGACACCUAUGUCCCAUUUUAUGUUUUCUUUUUUUAUCUCUCAUUUUGAAUCAGAUGGGUGAGAUCUCGGCUGACAGCUUCCUGAAAAGACUUUUUGAGUGGGAAGCCACUCAAAAAAAUUUUAAGAUAUGAGUUGGAUAAAAUGUUAAGGAAGGAUCCCUUUAAGUGUCAAGCUUGUGCUUUCAGUUUCAGUGGAUGGAAACUGCAAGUAUUACCAUUUAAAGAAUGCAGCAAGAUUUGAGGAACAGGCUAUAUUUCAGGACCUUUUCAUAGCCAAGGAUGAAAACAU
Poecilia reticulata (guppy) is the source of this 1579-nucleotide non-coding RNA. Lineage: Eukaryota; Metazoa; Chordata; Actinopteri; Cyprinodontiformes; Poeciliidae. The record is from RefSeq and is a predicted model, not a curated record.